GUUCCCAGUGCUAUGCAGCAGGAUCUCAUUGCUUAUUCAUUCCAAAAACAAUAGUUUGCAUCUAUUAACCCCAUCCCACUCUCUCCCCCUCCCCCUUGGCAACCACAGGUCUGUUCUCUACACACUUAACCUUUUAAUUCCAGCAUCUAUCUAUAUUAUAUACUUGGCACAUGCACUUCAGAGAAAUUUUGAUUUUAAUAAUGAUAGUCAAUUGGGUAUUUUCCCCUUCUCGGGAAUCACCCAAGGAGCAACGAUAAUGAGAAAUAAAUGAAAAUACCAUAAAACUAAGAGACACUAGAGAACCAAACCUCACAAUCAGAGGACAAGCUGACAGAAACAGCCCAAGUAUAGAGGGUUACAGAUGAUACCUAUUGUCGCAGUCACAAAAAGCUGGCCAAACAAGCUUCUCAGCAAAGAAAUGGAAAGUAAAGAAGUGAAACCAUGACCAGAAUGAAGGCCAGUAUGGAAGCAGCAUAAAGGAGAGCAGGGACCACAGAAAACACAAUGAGGGCCACAGAAGGGAAAGGUGACCAAAAUGAAAUAGACAUUAACAAAAGAUUUUUAAAGACUAGAGAGAAAAAUGACAAAUAUGGCAGUCAGCAGAGAGCCAGCAGACCACAAAGAAGAUAAACAAAAUAAACAGAAAAAAAAAUUUCAAGAUCUAAUUUAAGAACAUAUUCAGAAAUGAGAAUUGAGUAUACAGCAUGGAAGGGUACUCCAUAGCCUCUGGGAAAAAUGACGCAGAAUGAUCAACACUGAGACAACUCCCAGCAGGAAACAAAUGGCACGCUCCAUUAAAGUAAAUCAAGGAAAGUUUAACCACGGGACUCUUUACAAAGGUCUUGCAGGAUGCUGGGAAACCACAAGGAACAGUGCAGUGUUCUGGGGUUCCGGGUAGCAUUCGCAGCUUCCUGCCAAGACAACAACAGGGUGCUGGUGGGAGGGAGUGGUCAGACACAGCUGUGGGGAGUGGGUCACUUGGUGGAGGCAGCCAGUCUUCAGAUCCUGUCAGGGGAAUGAGGGCCCUGACCUCACUACCCCGCCGCCCCCACCGCCUUCUCAUCUCUUGCUGGUGCUCCUUUUGGCCAAACCCAACUGGAAUCCAGAAGACAAGAGCGCCCAUUGGUAUAAACCACACACGUCAGCCUCCUGGGACCCAGCAGAGUAAACAGAAUAGGGCGUGGAUCUGGAGGAGUGUCUGGGAGAGAUCCAGCAUAACCAGUAAAGUUGCUGGACUUCAGGGACAAAGAAGGAAUCCUUGGGCAUCACGAAAAAGUGGAUUCAGUCAUCUUAAGUUUGGUCCCUAAUUUAUUGCCUAACCCCAGGAACUUGAGAGAGUGAAAGGGCAUACUAACAAUAGGAUAUUAUAGGUGGAAACCAGCCCUCUCCCGGGCAUACUAUGAUGUGUGGUUUCCCACCUACAGACGAAAAAAUCGGAAUGCCUACAGACUUCUCCACAGCAAGAUUUAAUAUCAGAAGCUGGGGAGUAGGAGUGGGAAAUGCCUAAUAAGUCCUCAAAUAGGAGCAGAUAUGAUCUAUGAAUUCUAUACAUAUGUGGCCAUUCAGAUUGAAGGGCAGCACAACAUUUCUGAAUAUGCAAAACUCAAGGAAAUACGGUUUUGGGAAUCCUUUAAAAAAGUACUUGAAGGCAAAUUUUAGCCAGUUCUAGUGUUGAAUGGAGAAAAUCCAGCAAAGGAGCUGUCAAUAUGCAUGGAAUUUGUUAUAAUAGGAGUCUAAAAUUAAGACGAAAGAAAAACUUUUAAAGUUAUAGAUUGGAGUAGUAAUGUCAACCCUGGCAGUAAUCACAUGGUGUAACUAGAGCUGAAAAGAAAGCAGAGAUGGGUGUACACACCAAUUUUCUCAUCUUUUAUAGGAUCUAAACUAUUAUUUAUUUACAGCUACUGUAUGAAAUAACAAGAGUGUGCAAAUAUGGAUAUGAGUCAAGGUAAACAUUAAACUACAUAAAUAACCGAUUGGGUGGUCGUGGAGAAGGAGGGAAGACGUGAACAGACAGGAGUUCUGGUGUUGGCCACAGUAGCAUCUAGAGAGGACUAUCCAGAGAGAAGUAGAAGAUUUGGGUGUCUUCCGUGAAAUCACAACCCUAAGAUGAACACCAGAACACAAAUUCAGACUUUCCAGAUUUGUCAGAAGAGACAUACAAGACAAAAGCCAUAUAAUGAAAAGAAAAACAGGAAGCAAUCAAAGCAGAAAAAAAAAAUCUAAAAUAAAACCAAAAGCAGGAGUUUCAUUCUGAACAUCAGAGCAGAAGGGCGUGCAGUAAGACAAAGAAAGGCUUUUAAUGAUGAUAAGGAAUUCAUUGUACAGUGAAGACCUCAGUUAUAAAUAUCUGCAGCAAGGGACACAAUGUUCAUGAAGUAAAUUCCAGGAAAUAGAAGAGGGAAAAGCCAGAAGCUUAUAAUUUGUCUCAGUCAGCCUAGGACUGAUCAACUGGACUCCCUGCCCCAAUUUUAUAUAGUAAAUUGUACUCCAAGGACAGAGAAUGAGCUUUUUAAUUUACCUGUGGAAAAUAUUCACAUGGACCACAUAGUAGGCCACAAAGACAACCUCAAUAAAUUCCUUAAUAGAUCACCAGGCAGUCUAACUCAAAAUUUAAUCGUGUUAGAAAACAAAACACCCCAACAGCUGGAUGUUUUAAAACAGUCUUUAAUAAAACCCAGAGUCAAAGAGGAAAUCAAAACCAAAACAGCAGACCAGAUAGAAAAUAGCAGUGAUGAAAAUACUACACAGAAAACAGAACCUCUCUGAGGGCUGGUUGGCCAUAGCCUUCAAGAUUUAGGCCAGUUUUUCCACUCCUGGGUUAUUCUUGUUGCAGUAUAUUUACAUGUGUGUAAAAUAACGUAUACACAAGUAUGUCUACUGCAGCAUUUUUUGCUACUAUUGGAAAGACUGGAAACAAUCCAGAUUUCCAUUAUUAGAGAACUAUGUAAUUAUGAUACAUCCAUUGUGGGAUACUGGGCAGCUAGCUAAUGAAAAUAAUGAGGUCGCUUUCUAUGUCUUAAUAAGAAAAGAUUGCCCAACAUUCAUGACAGAGUGAAACAAACUAAGAGUGGAAUAAUGUGUGUGGUGUGCUACCAGUUUGUAUUGGACCAAAUUAUGUCCCCUCAAAUUCAUAGGUGAAGCCCUACCUUCCAAUGUGACUGUGUUUGGAGAUAAGUCCUUUCAGGAGGUAAUUAAGGUUAAAUGAGUCCACAGGGUGGGGUCCUAAUACAGCAGGACUGGUGUCCUUAUAAGAAGAAGAGACAGCAAGAAUGUGUGCAUGCAAAGGAGUGGCCAGGGAGAACAAGGGAGAAGGUGGCCACCUGCAAGCCAAGGAGCGAGUCCUCAGGAGAAAUUAAACAGCUGACACCUUGAUCUUGGACUUCCAGCCUCCAGAACGGUGAGAAAUAAAUUUAUGUUGUCUAAGCCACCCUGCCUGUGUUAUUUUGUGGUGGCAGCCCCAGCAGAUUAACACGGGGCGGGGGUGGGGGAGAAAAUUCUCUCUGUGUCAAUAGAUAUGAGUCAAUAUGGAGAGACCUAUGGGUAUAGAGACAUCCAUGAGUGUAUGGAGUGUUUAGGGAAGAGCGCCCGAUAAAGUGGUGACAGAAAUGGCCCAAGGGAGGAAGGAUGACUAAAGAGGUGGUGGGGGAGCUGCUUUUUGUUAUAUACCCUUUGGUUCUCAUAGUAUUACAGGUAUUUUCAUUUAAAUACAUUAUUUUCAAUUGAAAAAGACAAAUCAUCUGUUAAAAAAUUCAGCAGCUGCAGAAUAUUCGACCAAGGGUUUAUACUAUAAUGCAUUUAGCAUAAUUAAAUUAUAUACUUAACCCUUUCCUUCUGUGCUCUGUGUAUAUCUAAUGUAUAAAUAUAUAAGAUACAUGUCACAUAUAUGUCCAUGUAAUAGAUAGAUCUAUGUGUAAUUAUAGAUGGUAUUCGUAUACUACAUAUGUUAUAUGAUAAGCUAGAUAGAAGAGUAACUAUAUCAUAAUUUAUCCAUGAUAAUCAGACAUUACAUUUCCAGCACUUUGUAUGUAAUUAAUCAUCCUAGGAACAAUUUUAUGCAUAAAAAUGUUCAUUAAUGAUGAUACCCAGAAGUGAAAUCACUGGGUCGGAAAGGGAGAUGUUUUACUAACAAAAGUUAUUUCUUUAAUAGCACAUAUAGGUGUUUUGGUUUGAAAGAAUGCCCAUUUGUUGUAAAGAAUUUGGAGAACAUAGAGAGGUUGGAAGAAGAAAACGAAAGCCUGUGUAUUCUGAGCAUCCAGAGAUAGAUGCUUUUCAAGGCUUUUCUCCACGUGCCGGUACUUGCGGCAGUCUCAUUGUUAAGGCCCGGGGUUAGUGUUUUACGGUGAGGGCCCCUAUCAGGACAAGCAGUGGAGACCUCCAGGACCAAGAGUCAGUGCCGUCGUGGUUGUAGUAACAUGCAGGGUGGGGGGGGGAGCGGGUAGUGGAGAAAAGAUCCUUUCCCUUUGCAGUUAAGCAGCCAACAGCCCUCACAGCGGAAGACACACACACCGCGCCAACCUCGGCACCUGCUGAUUGUAGGACCCCCAGACAAACGCCAAGCAGUGGAGCUGGUAAAAAGCCCUGUGGCUCUGUCACCAGGGAUCUGCCUCCCAGGCCUCCCCAAGCUGAGAAGGAAGCAGAGCCCCCCGCCCCAUGCCGGUGCGCCAGCCUGGGCCCAAAGCAGAGGUACUGGCCUGUUCUGAAAGGCAGAUGCGAUGCUGAGGAUCCAGAACUCACUGAGGAUGCUGCCAAAAGCCAGGACACUGGCCAUCUUCAGUGAACGCAGCACGAACCAACCCUUCCCAACCCAGCAAAAGCCUACAGGAAAGAAAGAUUGAAUGAACCUUCCAGCGUUUUCAAGUCAUUAAAGCUUGAGCAGCAUGGAACUACAUCAACAGAUCAAUUUGUUUCCUCAUUGGCUGCUGCCCAGUUUCUCACCCCGCCCUCAGGACCACCUGGUUCAGCCUGUGGACAGGGGAGAAAAUCAUCUGCUCCAGAGGUUGGCUGAUCCUGAAAGUGAUAACGCUCAAAGAAAUGGCAUCAAAUUCUAGAGCAAGUUCAAAAUUUCUACCAUGUUUGUGCUCAACAUCCUUUUCCCGUCCCCAAAGGGAAACUUACGUUCAGUUUCUAAACGGUUUGGGACUUUGAGAAAUAAAAUGAGUUAAGAAUACUGCAACCAGAGUUCCCAUCGUAGCUCAGCAGA
Molecule: long non-coding RNA, 5200 nt
Organism: Sus scrofa (pig)
Lineage: Eukaryota; Metazoa; Chordata; Mammalia; Artiodactyla; Suidae
Source: RefSeq, a predicted model, not a curated record